RNAcentral lists this long non-coding RNA (1322 nucleotides) under Sus scrofa (pig). RNAcentral's name for it is "lncRNA (ENSSSCG00040054462.1)". Lineage: Eukaryota; Metazoa; Chordata; Mammalia; Artiodactyla; Suidae. The record is from RNAcentral.
GCCCCGGGAAAGGAGUGUGCACGCGCUUCGGGUGCGUGAAGGUGGAGGGUGAGAAGGCUAGCACUCCUUGCGCUGGCCUCCGUCACGUUUCUAUCGGCUGUGGGGAAUUGGGAAGAAGAGCUUUGAGCCACUCGCUCUGCCAGGUAAUGUGGCUACGACACGGCCCGCUGUAGCGCCGGGCCUGAGUCUUAAAUCUGAGGUUAAUUCUGAACGAUGCUCCGGCUUGCGGCCCCCUUCGCCUGGCCCCGGCCGAACCACAGAGCCCUAUUCAGGCUUUGAGGGACUGAAGAGCUCAAGCGGCGCCCUUUGCCAAGUCCAUGCAUACCACCGCUUCCGCCAGACACUCGGGUCUCUGAGGCACCUACUCUGAGAGCUCCAAAGAGAGGCUGAGGCCAGUUCUCCCCUUUCCCAAGAAGAGUCUGAGACUGAAACCUUGAUGCUGAGAACACCUUUCCCCUUUCUGAUGCAAGCAGCUUGCAGAUUGUUAAUGCCGGAGCCUGAGGCAAGAAUGUCACAGACCUUUCCCAGGUGUUUGUUAAGGUUCUCCCAACAGGACGAUAAACUCAUCUGGAAGGCAGAGGGCCUGCCCAUUCAUAAACCUGUUGAUGUGGUCCCCAGAGUGCAACUCACUCUUGCAGAUGGAGCAGUCAUUUUGAGAGCAUGAAGAUGAAGAUACGUGAAAAAGCCAGAAGGAUUCUGGUCUCUCAAGUGCUAAAAAGGAGGAGUUGAGAAGAACUGGACCAAACAGCAGGUUGAGAGUACCCACAUCUGCCAAAGGGGCAGGGGGCUCAGAUGAAAUGAACAAAGUCAUGGCCCUCACGGGGUUCAGCUUCAUUGGAAAGACAGACCAGAAACCAACUCAUGACCAUGGGGAGAGCACCAUGAGGGUAUGGACAUGCUGCACGGACCCUAAAGGAGCAUGUUCUGAACUUGACUUGAGCUGAGCUGAGCCGGGGCGAAGGGGAGGCAGCCAAGGCAGACAUCUGAGAGGAGGUGCUGGCCCUGCAGCCACCUUUUAAAAGACGGUGUAAAACAUGGCUGUCUGUGCGGCGUGUGGAAGCAGGAAAGCGGGUGAGGUCGUGUCCGGGGCCGGAGCACAGUGUGCCUCAAGAGAGAGACCAGACAUCCCGUAAGAGGCAGAGAAGGCCCAUCGCUUUAAAAGCCUCAAGCGCAAUGCCAAGGAAUUCUAUCUUUAUUCUAAAACGAAUGGGCAGUCAUUAAAGGAUACUAAGCAGAAAAAUGCAUUGACUAGACAUGCAUGUUGGAAAAUGUACUUUGAUCAAAUUUGGUGUUGUUUAUGGUCAUUUCUAUAAAGUAUUUGG